GACGAACGCUGGCGGCGUGCCUAAUACAUGCAAGUAGAACGCUGAAGGAGGAGCUUGCUUCUCUGGAUGAGUUGCGAACGGGUGAGUAACGCGUAGGUAACCUGCCUGGUAGCGGGGGAUAACUAUUGGAAACGAUAGCUAAUACCGCAUAAUAGUAGAUGUUGCAUGACAUUUACUUAAAAGGUGCAAUUGCAUCACUACCAGAUGGACCUGCGUUGUAUUAGCUAGUUGGUGGGGUAACGGCUCACCAAGGCGACGAUACAUAGCCGACCUGAGAGGGUGAUCGGCCACACUGGGACUGAGACGCGGCCCAGACUCCUACGGGAGGCAGCAGUAGGGAAUCUUCGGCAAUGGACGAAAGUCUGACCGAGCAACGCCGCGUGAGUGAAGAAGGGUUUCGGAUCGUAAAGCUCUGUUGUAAGAGAAGAACGAGUGUGAGAGUGGAAAGUUCACACUGUGACGGUAUCUUACCAGAAAGGGACGGCUAACUACGUG
Molecule: ribosomal RNA, 495 nt
Filed under: uncultured bacterium
Lineage: Bacteria
Description: partial 16S ribosomal RNA
Rfam family: Bacterial small subunit ribosomal RNA
Source: RNAcentral